Molecule: long non-coding RNA, 1088 nt
Filed under: Daphnia magna
Lineage: Eukaryota; Metazoa; Arthropoda; Branchiopoda; Diplostraca; Daphniidae
Description: uncharacterized LOC116925635, transcript variant X1
Source: RNAcentral
GAAAAAAAGCUGCAAAAAUAGGCGAGUAGUUGUGAACUGUCCUAUGGAACAUCAAAUAUUUAGCUCAUUCAGAGUUAUAGACCAAUGUCUGUUUUCCCUCUCUGGGGGGAAUACUAUAAAAAAAACGAGGGUUUCAGGUUGGGGCGGUCGGGGUGUAAGAGUGAUUUUCCACCCGUGAGAGCGCCUCUUGUGGGUGUGUUGGUUCAUUCCACGCAGAGACUCAUUUGUAGCAAAAUGGCACUCGCUGACCCAUGGAACAUCAAAUAUUUAGCUCAUUUUCAGUAUUUUUAAAACAGCCAAGAAAUAGAAGGUCGGUCGUUGGACAACCACCCAUUGUUUUCAUGGCCGCUAGGCGCUAGGUGACCUUCACUUGCUCUUCCGGUUGGAUCUUAUCAACUCGGAUGGGCUACAACGCCAUAGCUUUCUCCGAACCCUCAAAUGACAGUUGCUAGGGAAUGGUCGUGUCUGCUUGUUCUUUGUUGAUUUCCAACUGACAUUGCGUUCUGUUAUUGCCUUAUAAAUCAAGCCAAAGUAGUUGAGUUAGGGUGUUUCAUUCAGAAAGAAUCAUGGCAGAUGAGGUAAAAAAACCAGAUCUAGCCGUAACAAGUGAACCUCAGCCGGUUAAAGAAGUAACUGUACAGGCAUCUCCUGAACAGACAACCGUCUGUGAAUGUCUUUACUGGCUGGGUCUCUAUUAUGCACUGUGUAACUGCUGGGAACUUUGCGUAGACUGUUGUGUUUGCUGUGCCAACGGCUGCUCCACAUAGUUUGCAGAUUUCUCAGGUAUGGAUAGACAGCCAUUGGAUAUAACAACAGGUGUCUUUUGGAAGAGACUUCUUCUAUUGUUUCCAGUUAAUAGAUUCUAUCUGUGACAUUUCAUUGGAAAAGACAACUCGUUCAGCCAGUGUGAUGAUGCCAAACAGCAUGCACUCUUUCCUUUGCCACAAUUGUUAUAGAUGUUUUAAAAAUUCUUCAUUACUUAUUUCAUGUUUUUACACCAUCUAAAAAAAAGCAAACAAACGAAUUGAAUUUCCGAAAAAUUUUGCAUGUGUUAUAUCUUGGCAUGAAAUAAACAGUUAAAAUUUUUA